This 28-nucleotide small RNA is filed under the name Bombyx mori (domestic silkworm). RNAcentral describes it as "ovarian small RNA-9427". The record is from RNAcentral. Lineage: Eukaryota; Metazoa; Arthropoda; Insecta; Lepidoptera; Bombycidae.
UUAUACAAUUAUGGUAAGUGGCCUUGGC